GGGGAAAAAGAAAAGCUUCAAGAUCCCCUCGAUCCAAGAGGACCCUUGAGGGGCUGGCAGUGGUCUAGAAUCCCACCUCAGUGUUGGAGAUCUAGGACUCCUCCUUGGGGCUAACGGUCUGGGAGUCCCCAUCGAUAAUGCCACCAUCGAGGCAUCGGUCCCCCCAAAAAGGUUUGCCAAUUAUACCCCCUGAAUGCCUCCAGAAUGCAGGUACUCAUGAAGAUUAGGAGACAGCUCCUCCGAACACAAAGGAUGAAGUGCCGACCCGAGACCCAUGCUUGAGAGAAGUUUUACCUCUACCAUUAUGACCAUGAUCAUGACAUCGAAGACUAUA
RNAcentral lists this long non-coding RNA (334 nucleotides) under Elaeis guineensis (African oil palm). RNAcentral's name for it is "long non-coding RNA (EGUI_LNC015898)". The record is from RNAcentral. Lineage: Eukaryota; Viridiplantae; Streptophyta; Magnoliopsida; Arecales; Arecaceae.